Long non-coding RNA from Otolemur garnettii (small-eared galago), 1764 nucleotides. RefSeq lists it as uncharacterized. NCBI's taxonomy places the organism in Eukaryota, Metazoa, Chordata, Mammalia, Primates, Galagidae. The record is from RefSeq and is a predicted model, not a curated record. The transcript is spliced from 2 exons.
UAACAGCCUCAUAGUGGAUAAUGCAAUUUACUGUUACAGGUCUGAGAAUUGGCUUCAGAAGUCUCUAAUGCUGAGAGUGGGGAGUUUCAAGGUGACUGCUUUUUAGCUCUAGGGGAGAAAGGAGGGCACGCUGCCCAAGGCCAUGCCAGGGCAAGGACAGGCUACUGGCCCUGCGCCGGCCGGGUCAACCAGAGGCAAAGCUCCAUCUAGGGCUCCCAGGCUGACAGAUGUUUGCUGCCUCUGCCACAGGAGACAGAGGGGAAAGAAGGCAAAAGAAACAAAGAGAUCAUAUAUUUGAAGUGGUUGGACUUUUAAAAACCUACCUUUGCCUUCAGGGUUUUCUAGGUUACCGUCACCCCGCUUUCUGAAAAGUGUUUCCCCCCCUUUUCCCCACCAUUUCUCCCAGGGAAAGAAAAGGGGGGAAUGUUUUGUUUAAAAGAAUAGGGGUUACAAGAAAGAAAGGAAAAAAGCUAUUGUUUUCAUCCCUAAUUUAUAAUCCAAGAGGCCCCAUGGUUUCUCUCUUUCUGACUCAAAUCUUUGAGCUGUUAAUUAUAAAAGUAACUGGACUUGGCUCCAACGGGCUAACUACGUUCAUGCUCAGCAAUUAGAAAAACUCUGUAGAAAGUUUACGGAGUGAUUAUAUAUAAUUAAUUCCUAGUUACAGACUGAACACUGACCAUUUUCUGGAGCUAAUAAAAGCAGUUACUCCCCCUCCCCCACGUGAAUGCCACUUAAUUUCCCAAAGCAGAAAGUGAAUCCAUCCUGGAGGGUCUUGAAGGAAAAAAAGAGAGGGAAUCAAAAGCUCCAGUGUGUCUGUGUUUGUUCCUUGCAGCUGUGCAUCCUCUUUGGGGACUGGGGAGGCAGAAGGAAAAAGGAAAACAGCCCAACCUUCUGUUCCUCCCUGUGCAAUUUACAAAUGUGCCACAAGAGAACAUUCUACCUUGAUGAGAAAAAAGGGGUUGGGGGGAGAUGCCCUAGGAAUGGAAUGUAGGAGGCUCUUCAACGUGGUAGCUCUGCUUUUCCUAAAAGGAACAAAGAUGGUAGAAAUUUCCAGAAGGCCCAUUCUCCGUCCAGCCACUCCAAUUGUCAAUCUUUAACCUUUCCUCCGAGUCUAUUGGUUCAAAAGCUACAGAGAGGAGCCCCACUGGGCUGCUCUGGGAACCAGGACUGCUACCCCUACCUAGUUAGUCUUGCUGCAAUGCAGAACAUUUAUUUUUUUGCCUUUUAGAGAAAAUGAAAAAUAAUGCUACUUGCAAAGUAAUUAACUUUUUACAGACCCAUGCUAAGUGGUGGCCACAGUACCAAAGGGAAAGUGCCUAGCUUGGUCCAGGGCUGGGAACUUCCUGGGGCCACGCAUUUUAAAACAGAUCUUGGCUUUCCAAACCUGUGGGAGCCAUUUUAAUGCAUGCUUUUAGAGGACAAAUGCCUUGCCCUUAAGUUCCCUUCCAGCCCAACAAACACAGUAUUAUGCAAACGUUGAAGGCACCAAACCAGGAGUCUUGUGAUUAGAUAUUGCUUCUAGGAAGGCCACAAGAACCUCAAUGUGUAAUUUCCAUUUACAGCAAAGAGAUAAGAACAAAGAAAAUAGCUGAGUAUCCGAACUUACUUCUGUGGGCUAGUGGCACUAUUCAGGUUUUGAAGUAUAUAACAUCCAAACUGCCUGCACUUGUACUCUAAGAAGCUGGCCUGCCUAACAGACUUUUCUCAUCCUAGAAUUUGGUACAUUUCCCCUGAUUAAAUGAGCUUUUUUUCCAAGGGGUGUCA